CACUCGCCACAAGCUACAUCAGAGUCACAGCAGUACAAUACCUAUUCAUCAAGAGUAAGAGCAGGGUCCGACUACGGACGAAAACAAACGAGAAAAGAAGAACGACGUCCAUCCUUCUAUUCCAGGCUGCCGGUCUGGAACCCAUCCUAGAUCGAAGAAGAAGAAGAAGAAGCAACUCCAAAUGAUCAAUCAACGCGCUCGCGUCAAGUACCCUUUACCUGUACCUGCAACUGGUGUUGUAGUAAUCUGUGAGCCACAGGGGACUCAACAAUCUCAUUUCGAAAGGUAUCAAGACUAGCAAGGCUUAAUGGGUGAGGCAUGGAUAAGUGGUGAGGUUGCAGCAGCGGCUAAGCAUAUAUUUGGUGGCUAAACUUACGAGUACAAUAAAUAAGAGAGGGAAGAUCCACGCAUAACGGACGUGUACUAAUCAUGAUCAAAUGAAUGAUCCUGAACACCUACCUACGCCAGACAUAACCCCACCGUGUCCUCGUUCGGAGAAGGAACUCACGAAAGAGACAGUCACGGUUACGCACACAGUUAGCAUAAUUUAAUUAAGUUAACUUCAAGUUAUCUAGAACCAGUGUUAAACAAAGUUUCCACGUUGCCACAUAACCGCGGACACGGCUUUCCGAAAAGAUUUAACCCUGCAGGGGUGCUCCAACUAGUCC
RNAcentral lists this long non-coding RNA (668 nucleotides) under Hordeum vulgare. RNAcentral describes it as "long non-coding RNA (HVUL_LNC015743)". The record is from RNAcentral. Lineage: Eukaryota; Viridiplantae; Streptophyta; Magnoliopsida; Poales; Poaceae.